UGCCAGCCGCCGCGGUAAUACGGAGGGUGCAAGCGUUGUUCGGAAUUACUGGGCGUAAAGCGCGUGUAGGCGGCUAGGUAAGUCGGAUGUGAAAUCCCGGAGCUCAACUCCGGAACUGCAUCCGAAACUGCUUAGCUAGAGUCUCGGAGAGGAAGGCAGAAUUCCCGGUGUAGGGGUGAAAUCCGUAGAUAUCGGGAGGAAUACCAGUGGCGAAGGCGGCCUUCUGGACGAUGACUGACGCUCAGACGCGAAAGCGUGGGUAGCAAACAGGAUUAGAUA
This 279-nucleotide ribosomal RNA is filed under the name uncultured bacterium. Its description in RNAcentral is "partial 16S ribosomal RNA". It matches the Rfam family "Bacterial small subunit ribosomal RNA", at positions 506 to 784 of the family's 1533-position model. The record is from RNAcentral.